UACAAAAAAGGCGAUGGGGCUCGCCUUGAACCGCUGUUUUUACAGAUGAUGGCUCCUACUGGCUU
Regulatory RNA element from Thermincola sp., 65 nucleotides. It matches the Rfam family "Fluoride riboswitch aptamer (crcB RNA motif)". NCBI's taxonomy places the organism in Bacteria, Bacillati, Bacillota, Clostridia, Eubacteriales, Thermincolaceae. The record is from Rfam.